UACGUAGGGUGCAAGCGUUGUCCGGAAUUAUUGGGCGUAAAGAGCUCGUAGGCGGUCUGUCGCGUCUGCUGUGAAAACUCAGGGCUUAACCCUGAGCUUGCAGUGGGUACGGGCAGACUAGAGUGCGGUAGGGGAGACUGGAAUUCCUGGUGUAGCGGUGAAAUGCGCAGAUAUCAGGAGGAACACCGGUGGCGAAGGCGGUGGUCUGGGCCGGAACUGACGCUGAGGAGCGAAAGCGUGGGGAGCGAACAGG
RNAcentral lists this ribosomal RNA (253 nucleotides) under uncultured bacterium. Its description in RNAcentral is "partial 16S ribosomal RNA". It matches the Rfam family "Bacterial small subunit ribosomal RNA", at positions 524 to 776 of the family's 1533-position model. The record is from RNAcentral.